Molecule: ribosomal RNA, 715 nt
Filed under: gamma proteobacterium GM11
Lineage: Bacteria; Pseudomonadati; Pseudomonadota; Gammaproteobacteria
Description: bacterial SSU rRNA
Rfam family: Bacterial small subunit ribosomal RNA
Source: RNAcentral
AACGGAGAUAGCUUGCUAUCAGACGUCGAGCGGCGGACGGGUGAGUAAUGCCUAGAUAUCUGCCUAGUCGUGGGGGAUAACAGUUGGAAACGACUGCUAAUACCGCAUACGCCCUACGGGGGAAAGGAGGGGACCUUCGGGCCUUUCGCGAUUAGAUGAGUCUAGGUGGGAUUAGCUAGUAGGUGAGGUAAUGGCUCACCUAGGCGACGAUCCCUAGCUGUUCUGAGAGGAUGAUCAGCCACACUGGGACUGAGACACGGCCCAGACUCCUACGGGAGGCAGCAGUGGGGAAUAUUGCACAAUGGGCGAAAGCCUGAUGCAGCCAUGCCGCGUGUGUGAAGAAGGCCUUCGGGUUGUAAAGCACUUUCAGCGAGGAGGAAAGGUUGGUAGUUAAUAACUGCCAGCUGUGACGUUACUCGCAGAAGAAGCACCGGCUAACUUCGUGCCAGCAGCCGCGGUAAUACGAGGGGUGCAAGCGUUAAUCGGAAUUACUGGGCGUAAAGCGUACGCAGGCGGUUUGUUAAGCCAGAUGUGAAAGCCCCGGGCUCAACCUGGGAAUUGCAUUUGGAACUGGCAAACUAGAGUCUUGUAGAGGGGGGUAGAAUUUCAGGUGUAGCGGUGAAAUGCGUAGAGAUCUGAAGGAAUACCGGUGGCGAAGGCGGCCCCCUGGACAAAGACUGACGCUCAGGUACGAAAGCGUGGGGAGCAAACAGGA